Rosa chinensis is the source of this 1313-nucleotide RNA transcript. RefSeq lists it as uncharacterized. Lineage: Eukaryota; Viridiplantae; Streptophyta; Magnoliopsida; Rosales; Rosaceae. The transcript is spliced from 3 exons. The record is from RefSeq and is a predicted model, not a curated record.
ACUGCAAGUUCUAAUCGGACAAAAAGGGAAUCGGAGUGGAUUAUAAUAACUCUCAACUAAAUCUCUAGGGUUUUAGCAACUCUCACCAGCCCUCCAUAUCCCUUCUCUCUCAACCAUGGACGCCACCGUCACCCCAUCCCCAAUCCCCGACCCUAACCCGAACGCUGCCCCAGCCGUCUCCUGUUAGAUCAACAUCGUGAAGAAGCAGCCGGACCCAAAGCCCCAAAACUCCUCCUACUCCUCCUCAAUUGCCGCCGGUAAAGUAUUCGUCGAAAGCUGUAAGUCCUCCAAGGGCAUAGCCGUCGCCGUUGUUGACUAUCAUUCAAGGCGGUGAGACCCUCGCCCACUGCACCGACAAGUUGGUCUCCGUCCCAGAGGUCAUGGACGAGGUCCGCGACCCUUUUUCCAGCCACCGCCUCGCCGUCAUUCCCUUCCAAGUUCAAACCAUGGAACCCUCCCCUGAAUCCCUCAAUAAUGUUGUUAAGUUUGCAAGGGCUACUGGGGAUUUACAGACACUGUCAGAUGUGGAUGUUAAGCUCAUUGCUAUGACUUAUACAUUGGAGGCUCAGAUACAUGGCACUGAGCACCUCAGGGACUGUCCUCCAUCGGUGCAUACUGUCAAUGUGAGGAGGUUGCUGGAGAAUGACUUGCCCGGGUGGGGAAAUAACGUGCCUAAUUUGGAAGAGUGGGAAGCGUCGGAGAACGAAGCGGAGGAUAAGUUGAACCCCAGUUCGAGGAUUCUUCCGCUGAAAGAUAUAAACUUGAAUGUACGUUAUUGAGGAUUUUGAGAGCCGUUCUGUUGAUGGUUCUGCAGUGGAAGUUAGGAGUGAUGUUCAUUUUGAGAAUAAGGAGGGUGGUGAAGGCAUUCAGGGGCGACAUUGGAGAUAUUUUCCAAAGAAGAAAGAGAUAAAGAUUGAAGGGAAGAUGGUUUCUGAUGGAAUUGAUGCAUCCCAAGGACAAGCUGAUAAUAAUGCCGGUGAUUGGAUGCCUGAGAUGAUUUCCUGGUGACCUGGUGUAAACCUGAUCAGGGUUAGCUUUAGUCUGCAUUCAUGGAAGAGAUCCCGGGAAGAUCUACUUUCAGAAGCCCGCUUAGGGAAAGAAUUAAUUGUAUCCCUGAAGAUCCAUUGGUGCAAGCUGUGGAUGAACUGUUCCUUCUCCUAUUCAUUUCAUGUUCAUUUAACAAUGACAUGUUCCGUGAUGCAAUGGAUCAAACUUUCUGGCUAGAGGUUCCCUAUGCUGUUAGUGACGAAAAAAUUUCGAAGAGAAUUUUGACUCACCAAUUAAUGCAGACUGGAGUUGAAGCUGACCAAGAA